GCUUCAGAGUUUGAUCCUGGCUCAGGACGAACGCUGGCGGUGUGCCUAAUACAUGCAAGUCGAGCGAAUCGAUGGGAGCUUGCUCCCUGAGAUUAGCGGCGGACGGGUGAGUAACACGUGGGCAACCUGCCUAUAAGACUGGGAUAACUUCGGGAAACCGGAGCUAAUACCGGAUACGUUCUUUUCUUGCAUGAGAGAAGAUGGAAAGACGGUUUACGCUGUCACUUAUAGAUGGGCCCGCGGCGCAUUAGCUAGUUGGUGAGGUAAUGGCUCACCAAGGCGACGAUGCGUAGCCGACCUGAGAGGGUGAUCGGCCACACUGGGACUGAGACACGGCCCAGACUCCUACGGGAGGCAGCAGUAGGGAAUCUUCCGCAAUGGACGAAAGUCUGACGGAGCAACGCCGCGUGAACGAAGAAGGCCUUCGGGUCGUAAAGUUCUGUUGUUAGGGAAGAACAAGUACCAGAGUAACUGCUGGUACCUUGACGGUACCUAACCAGAAAGCCACGGCUAACUACGUGCCAGCAGCCGCGGUAAUACGUAGGUGGCAAGCGUUGUCCGGAAUUAUUGGGCGUAAAGCGCGCGCAGGUGGUUCCUUAAGUCUGAUGUGAAAGCCCACGGCUCAACGGUGGAGGGUCAUUGGAAACUGGGAAACUUGAGGGCAAAAAAGGAAAGUGAAAUUCCAAUUGUAGCGGUAAAAUGCUUAAAAAUUUGAAGAAAACCCCAGGGGCGAAGGCAACUUUCUGGUCGGAAACUGACACUGAGGCGCAAAAGCGGGGGGGAGAAAAAAAGGAUUAAAUCCCCUGGUACCCCCCCCCAAAAACGAUGAGUGCUAAGUGUUAGAGGGCUUCCCCCCUUUUAUUGCUGCAGCUAACGCAUUAACCCCUCCCGCCUGGGGAGUACGGCCGCAAGGUUAAAACUCAAAGGAAUUGACGGGGCCCCCCCACAAGCGGUGGAGCAUAUUUGUUUAAUUCGAAGCAACGCGAAAMAACCUUACCAGGUCUUGACAUCCUCUGACAACCCUAGAGAUAGGGCUUUCCCCUUCGGGGGACAGAGUGACAGGUGGUGCAUGGUUGUCGUCAGCUCGUGUCGUGAGAUGUUGGGUUAAGUCCCGCAACGAGCGCAACCCUUGAUCUUAGUUGCCAGCAUUCAGUUGGGCACUCUAAGGUGACUGCCGGUGACAAACCGGAGGAAGGUGGGGAUGACGUCAAAUCAUCAUGCCCCUUAUGACCUGGGCUACACACGUGCUACAAUGGAUGGUACAAAGGGCUGCAAACCUGCGAAGGUAAGCGAAUCCCAUAAAGCCAUUCUCAGUGCGGAUUGCAGGCUGCAACUCGCCUGCAUGAAGCCGGAAUCGCUAGUAAUCGCGGAUCAGCAUGCCGCGGUGAAUACGUUCCCGGGCCUUGUACACACCGCCCGUCACACCACGAGAGUUUGUAACACCCGAAGUCGGUGAGGCAACCUUCAGGGAGCCAGCCGACUAAGGUGGGACAGAUGAUUGGGGUGAAGUCGUAACAAGGGUAGCCGUA
This 1529-nucleotide ribosomal RNA is filed under the name Brevibacterium sp. RNAcentral describes it as "bacterial SSU rRNA". It matches the Rfam family "Bacterial small subunit ribosomal RNA". Lineage: Bacteria; Bacillati; Actinomycetota; Actinomycetes; Micrococcales; Brevibacteriaceae. The record is from RNAcentral.